CAGCGGCCACAUGCAUUUCAUGUCUCCUGGCUUUGUGAUGGCAUUUCAGACAUCACAAUCCUGUCAGUUAUAAGGACCACUUGUCAGGCAUAUUGGCAGAUUUCUUUCAGCUAAAACUCCAGUGAUGUUUCUGUCACAGUUAGGCUGGGGGUUGUGGAUUUGGAGUGAAACACCUAACCAAACUGCCUUCCUCUCAUUGCCAUUUCAAAGUUUCUGCCUUCAUUAAGACAUGGCUGCUCACAUGACUGAGUUCUGCUUGGUAAGCUGCUGUCCUGUGAAUUCGCUUUUCAGUAUGUCUUAGGAGUUGAAGACCAUCAAUCCUGUUUCCUAGCUAUGUCGCCUGGAUAGCCCAAUGGAUCCUCUCAGCAACCAUGAGCUUUGUCUCUAAAAUGGUCUUCUCUUCCCCUGUGAGCACUUAAACAAAGUAAACGUAUCCCAACACAGCAUCAUUUGUAUUGCUGUGUACGGACAGUCCGCUCAACAACAUGGUGAAGCAUGGUAGGCCUUCCUCUUUUUUUCCACUGUUCCUCUUGUGUCCUGAGCCUCUCAUUGUUUUGGGUUUAGUUUCCCAUGGAAUACAAUGCCGUCACAUUUCCAACAACUUCCCAAUACGACUGUGAAGACUCAUGGGGUCACAGUUUUAUAAAAGAGCACAGAAAUCUGAAACUCUGUUGGGUAUCUUUUUUCAUUAGGGAUGCAGUCUAGAAUUCUGUCCCUCCUUGAUUUUUAACAUUGGGUUUGCUAUAGUGUGCUCACACACACAUUGCAUGGCUAUUUGCUCUGAUCUGUCUUCCUC
Mastomys coucha (southern multimammate mouse) is the source of this 796-nucleotide long non-coding RNA. RefSeq lists it as uncharacterized. Lineage: Eukaryota; Metazoa; Chordata; Mammalia; Rodentia; Muridae. The transcript is spliced from 3 exons. The record is from RefSeq and is a predicted model, not a curated record.